RNAcentral lists this ribosomal RNA (873 nucleotides) under uncultured bacterium. RNAcentral's name for it is "bacterial SSU rRNA". It matches the Rfam family "Bacterial small subunit ribosomal RNA", at positions 21 to 902 of the family's 1533-position model. The record is from RNAcentral.
GGCUCAGAACGAACGCUGGCGGCGUGGCUAAGACAUGCAAGUCGAACGGACUCGUUAAUUUAUUAGCGGGUCAGUGGCGAAAGGGUGAGUAAUGAAUAGGUAACGUACCCCGAGCUCUGGGAUAGCCAUCCGAAAGGAUGGGUAAUACCGGAUAACUUCACGAGUCGAUGGGCUCGUGAGCAAAGAUUCAUCGGCGCGGGCGCGGCCUAUUUCCUAUCAGCUAGUUGGUGAGGUAACGGCCCACCAAGGCGAAGACGGGUAGCGGGACUGAGAGGUUGGCCCGCCACAUCGGAACUGAGACACUGUCCGGACCCCCACGGGGGGCUGCAGUAACGAAUCUUGGGCAAUGGGCGAAAGCCUGACCCAGCGACGCCGCGUGCGGGAGGAAGUCCUUCGGGAUGUAAACCGCUGUCAGGGGUAAGAAAGUCCACUUCGGUGGAUUGAUCGAACCCAGAGGAAGUCACGGCUAACUCUGUGCCAGCAGCCGCGGUAAGACAGAGGUGGCUAGCGUUGUUCGGUAUCACUGGGCUUAAAGCGUGUGUAGGCGGGAGCGUAAGCAUUUUGUGAAAUCCCCCGGCUCAACCGGGGCAUUGCUUGAUGUACUGCGUUCCUUGAGGCGAGUAGGGGUGCGAGGAACUCUUGGUGGAGCGGUGGAAUGCGUAGAUAUCAAGAGGAACGCCGAUGGUGAAGACAUCGCACUAGGCUUGUCCUGACGCUGAGACACGAAAGCGUGGGGAGCGAACGGGAUUAGAUACCCCGGUAGUCCACGCCGUAAACGAUGCUUACUAGAUUGUGGCGGUUCUGACGCCGGCACAGUCGAAGCCAAAGUGUUAAGUAAGCCGCCUGGGGAGUACGGUCGCAAGGCUAAAACUC